GAUCAUGGCUCAGAUUGAACGCUGGCGGAAUGCUUUACACAUGCAAGUCGAACGGUAGAGGGGGCAACCCCUUGAGAGUGGCGAACGGGUGAGUAAUAUAUCGGAACGUGCCCAGUCGUGGGGGAUAACGUAGCGAAAGUUACGCUAAUACCGCAUACGAUCUAUGGAUGAAAGCGGGGGAUCGCAAGACCUCGCGCGAUUGGAGCGGCCGAUAUCAGAUUAGGUAGUUGGUAGGGUAAAGGCCUACCAAGCCAACGAUCUGUAGCUGGUCUGAGAGGACGACCAGCCACACUGGAACUGAGACACGGUCCAGACUCCUACGGGAGGCAGCAGUGGGGAAUUUUGGACAAUGGGCGAAAGCCUGAUCCAGCCAUUCCGCGUGCAGGAUGAAGGCCCUCGGGUUGUAAACUGCUUUUGUACAGAACGAAAAGGUUUCUAUUAAUACUAGGAGCUCAUGACGGUACUGUAAGAAUAAGCACCGGCUAACUACGUG
Molecule: ribosomal RNA, 493 nt
Filed under: uncultured bacterium
Lineage: Bacteria
Description: bacterial SSU rRNA
Rfam family: Bacterial small subunit ribosomal RNA
Source: RNAcentral